RNAcentral lists this transfer RNA (76 nucleotides) under Candidatus Bathyarchaeota archaeon. RNAcentral describes it as "tRNA-Gln". It matches the Rfam family "tRNA". Rfam says of the family: Transfer RNA (tRNA) molecules are approximately 80 nucleotides in length. Their secondary structure includes four short double-helical elements and three loops (D, anti-codon, and T loops). Further hydrogen bonds mediate the characteristic L-shaped molecular structure. tRNAs have two regions of fundamental functional importance: the anti-codon, which is responsible for specific mRNA codon recognition, and the 3' end, to which the tRNAs corresponding amino acid is attached (by aminoacyl-tRNA synthetases). tRNAs cope with the degeneracy of the genetic code in two manners: having more than one tRNA (with a specific anti-codon) for a particular amino acid; and 'wobble' base-pairing, i.e. permitting non-standard base-pairing at the 3rd anti-codon position. Lineage: Archaea; Thermoproteati; Candidatus Bathyarchaeota. RNAcentral also lists the same sequence under 6 other names. The record is from RNAcentral.
AGCCCGGUGGUGCAGUGGUCAAACAUGGCGGCCUCUGGAGCCGCUGACGAGAGUUCGAAUCUCUCCCGGGCUACCA